UAGGGAAUCUUCGGCAAUGGGGGGAACCCUGACCGAGCAACGCCGCGUGAGUGAAGAAGGUUUUCGGAUCGUAAAGCUCUGUUGUUAAGGAAGAACGAGUGUGAGAAUGGAAAGUUCAUACUGUGACGGUACUUAACCAGAAAGGGACGGCUAACUACGUGCCAGCAGCCGCGGUAAUACGUAGGUCCCGAGCGUUGUCCGGAUUUAUUGGGCGUAAAGCGAGCGCAGGCGGUUAGAUAAGUCUGAAGUUAAAGGCAGUGGCUCAACCAUUGUAGGCUUUGGAAACUGUUUAACUUGAGUGCAGAAGGGGAGAGUGGAAUUCCAUGUGUAGCGGUGAAAUGCGUAGAUAUAUGGAGAAACACCGGUGGCGAGAGCGGCUCUCUGGUCUGUAACUGACGCUGAGGCUCGAAAGCGUGGGGAGCGAACAGG
RNAcentral lists this ribosomal RNA (429 nucleotides) under Bacteroidota bacterium. RNAcentral's name for it is "Bacteroidetes bacterium partial 16S ribosomal RNA". It matches the Rfam family "Bacterial small subunit ribosomal RNA", at positions 355 to 776 of the family's 1533-position model. The record is from RNAcentral. Lineage: Bacteria; Pseudomonadati; Bacteroidota.